UACAGAGGUCCCAAGCGUUGUUCGGAUUCACUGGGCGUAAAGGGUGCGUAGGCGGUCGGGUAAGUCUGAUGUGAAAUCUCACAGCUUAACUGUGAAACUGCAUUGGAUACUAUCCGGCUCGAGGAAUGGAGGGGAGACUGGAAUACUUGGUGUAGCAGUGAAAUGCGUAGAUAUCAAGUGGAACACCAGUGGCGAAGGCGGGUCUCUGGGCAGUAACUGACGCUGAGGAACGAAAGCGUGGGUAGCGAACAGG
This 253-nucleotide ribosomal RNA is filed under the name uncultured bacterium. RNAcentral describes it as "partial 16S ribosomal RNA". It matches the Rfam family "Bacterial small subunit ribosomal RNA", at positions 524 to 776 of the family's 1533-position model. The record is from RNAcentral.